This 68-nucleotide ribosomal RNA is filed under the name Hime japonica. The record is from RNAcentral. Lineage: Eukaryota; Metazoa; Chordata; Actinopteri; Aulopiformes; Aulopidae.
ACAGGUGCAGGCCUGGUUAGUACUUGGAUGGGAGACCGCCUGGGAAUACCAGGUGCUGUAAGCCUUUU